AAAUCGUUGUUUUCAUUAGAAAUUGACUCGGACUUUUAAUCCGUUGGUCACAGGUUCGAAUCCCGUACGGCCUACCA
RNAcentral lists this transfer RNA (77 nucleotides) under Paraburkholderia sp. RNAcentral's name for it is "tRNA-Lys". Lineage: Bacteria; Pseudomonadati; Pseudomonadota; Betaproteobacteria; Burkholderiales; Burkholderiaceae. The record is from RNAcentral.